RNAcentral lists this ribosomal RNA (328 nucleotides) under uncultured eukaryote. Its description in RNAcentral is "partial 18S ribosomal RNA". It matches the Rfam family "Eukaryotic small subunit ribosomal RNA", at positions 1470 to 1796 of the family's 1831-position model. The record is from RNAcentral.
CCCUUAGAUGUUCUGGGCCGCACGCGCGCUACACUGACUACUUCAACGGGUUGUUUCCUUGAUCGAAAGGUCUGGGUAAUCUUUGAAAGGUAGUCGUGAUGGGGAUAGAUCCUUGCAAUUUUUGAUCUUCAACGAGGAAUUCCUAGUAAACGCAAGUCAUCAGCUUGCAUUGAUUACGUCCCUGCCCUUUGUACACACCGCCCGUCGCACCUACCGAUUGAAUGGUCCGGUGAAUCUUUAGGACUGUGGCUGAGGCCUUGCCUUGUGCGGGUCUGGCCGUGGGAAUUUAGUUAAACCUUACCAUUUAGAGGAAGGUGAAGUCGUAACA